GACUUACAGAGCAAGGGUCAGGCAGUUAACAGAAAUAUCUAGUAGUGGGUUUAAGACAGGCAUACAGGCCAUCUGCCAGUUAGCAGUCUGUGACGUCAAAGAUAGCAGAUACUGCCACUUCUGCUUCUCCAACUCCCUCCGCAGGGAAACACCUCUGUGCAAGCCAGGCUUUCCUCAUUCCAGAGAAGAGGAUCACCACAAAACCCAGUCAACCCUGGCACUAAGGCAUGGAGCAUGACACUGUCACAGGAGAGCUUAGAGAGCUAGUGGGUCCUCCCCCACAAGCCCAUUGAACCGGAAAGGCAGAGAGAGCAGCAUGAUAGGGAACCUGGCUGCAGAAGCGAAGGCACUAAGGCAUCUGGCAAUCAUCAUCCUGAAGCUGAAGGUUCUAGAACACAUCCUCAGGGAAGGAAUCAGACAUUCCCAUCCAGAGAAUGAGGAAAACAGGUGCAGAAGCCGCAGGAGAGGACCUUCCAAUGAUGGAGAGAGGUUUUGGAGAAUGAACCCCUGAGGAAAUGGGAGGAAGGGAUAUGGGACCUGGAGAUAGGGAGGCUGUUUCUGCUCAAGAUUCGGAUAAGGAGAUGGUUUAAUUUGUUUUUCAUUAGACACAAAGUGAAGACUAGGAAGACCACACCCAACAAGGCAGGAGUUUCUCACACAUCAAAACCACUGCAUUGAGCUGGGAACCCAGAUACCAAGAGAAUCAGAACCCAAAUGUCUUAGCACCCAGCAGGAGAGACCACCCCCUCUGCUUCCAGAACGCACACAUUCUACCCCUAGCCUCCUGUCUCCUCACUUCAUCUGUGAACGCCUAGAGUCAAAGAAGUGUAACUGUGGCAGCAAGGACCUUGGAGUCAUCAGACCUGCCUUUGAAUUUAAUCUCUGCCAUUUACUAGUUGAGUCACAUUGGGCAGGUCACUUCUUUGGGCCUCAGUAACGUCAUGCAUGAACUAGGGAUAAUCUCUGCUUACCUCAUUUGGAGGUGGGGGUGAAGAUGAAGUGACAUGACGAAUAUGAGCGUGGUUUGUAAGUACACAGUAACAUUUAGUGGUGUGGUGGUUUCUUAGAGAUGACAGCAGAGCGCACAGCUGUUUCUGCUACCCCAGAAGGAAAAAGGACUGAAACAUUUGGAUCCCAAGAAUAGGGUGGAGGAGCCAGAAGCUGGCCUCCUCCCUCUCCCUGACCUGGUACGGGGAAGCCUCACUUGCUGGUUGGGAAUGACCCCUGUCACCUGGGGGGGCUGGGUGUGUGAGUGACUCAGAUCCUCCCAUCAAGCUCUGAAAGGGGCAACCCCAGGAAGGACCUGUGGUGGUCUUCGAAGUGAAAACCUCCUUUUCUUGGAUGGAUGACAAAUGUCAUUUCUCUGAAAUCAGGACUUGGGUUUCUUUCACUUCCUGCCCAAGGGGUCAAGGUCCCCGGAGGUUUCCCCUCUCUUCACACUUGAGCACUGUUUAAUAUCUAGGGAAGGGAUGAGGUCUGAGAGGCUCAAGUUUCUUUUUCUGUUUGUCAUUAUUCUGUUAUCCCUGAUGCUAUAGCAGAAUUUUCAUUUAUCCAACAAAUGUUGAUGACACAUUUAUUUUGAGACGGGGUCUUCCUCAGUUGCCCAGUGGUAGGAUCACAGCCCACUGCAGCCUUGGCUUCCUGGGCUCACAUAAUCCUCCCACCUCCGCCUCCUGAGUAGCUGGGACUACAGGUUUGAGCCACCAUGCCUAGCUAAUUUUUAAUUUUUGGUAGAGGCAGGGGUCUCACUAUGUUACCUAGGCUGCUCUUGAACUCUUUGGCUCAAAUGAUCCUCCUGCCUUGGCCUCCCAAAGUGCUGGGAUUACAGGCGUGAGCCACGGUGUCCAGCAUAUAAAGCACUGAUGAUAUGUGCCUGGCAUAUCAUAUACACAGCAAAUGAUGGAAAAUAAACAAGUCAGGCACUGGUAGGCUGCUCUGGUUCCCCAUAGGCUUCUCUUAAGGGAGGAGAAUCUAAGAGACCUGGUCCCCUCCUAGACCCAAAUAUUGUCUCUGACUCCCAUUUCUCCCUUUGACUCCAGGACCCCCAAAUGUUGAGAGCAACCUCCCACUCUCCAGGCCCACCACGCCUUCCCUCUUAUUCUAGCAUGGGUGUGGGCGGGUGUUAACCCUUCCUAGAUCAGACAGGGUGUGUCAAUGGGUGAGGCUGGCGGAGGGGCAACGGGGUGGUGAGAGGAGAAGAUGAGUCAGAAUGAAAGGGAAAAUGCAAAUGUGAGAGCCAUGUUCAUCUGCUACUCUGAAAGUUAAGUAUUUUCCAUUUCUAAGCUUUCUAAUUCCUCACACCACCACACCCAGGGACUUGUUAGACACCCAUAUAAAAGACACAAAGCAUCAAUCCCUCUGAUAUGUAGGGGCGCAGAGGGAAACACCCUUCCUCCAACACAGAAAUAGAGUCCCUCAAGACAAGGAAGAAGUGUGGAAAGCCCUGAGGGACCAGCCCCCCAGGAUAGAGGAAGGAUGUAGGGGUCUGGAUAGUUACAUCGUCACCCAUCUGAGUUUGGCCUCCUGGCUUCCCAGCCCCAUGUCAUGUGCCUGUGACUCAGCUCCCCCACUGGUUUGCUCUUUGUUCGAGAGAGUUGGAGAUUGCUCAAAGGGCAGUAUCCUGUGUAAGCCAAAUGUAGUACCCAGGGAGCAUCAGUGGGCUUUCGGGGAACCUAAAAGCGGGGAGGGGCAAGGGGACUCCCCUUUCAGUGAACAAAAGCCCUCAAUGAUGGGGAACCCCACCUAAGGAUAUCCCCUUAGAGACGGCCUCCUUUCAGUUAUCUCCAGGGCCCUCUGCACUGCAGCCCCUAUGCUGAUGACACUCAGCCCUUCUCUACCCUCUCCCUGCGUUCUUGACAGUGUAACCCAGGCCAUCCUGCACACUGUGCACAGAUAGCAGAAGCAGACAGCACUUUGACUUGGAAGAGUAGGGACACUGCUGGUGCUGUUCUGAUGUUGACAUUGUUUUGUUUGCUUUAUGAAGUAGAAUCAUGUUCUGUCACCCAAGCUGGAGUACAGUGUUACCAUCUUAGCUCACUGCAACCUCUGCCUCUGGGUUCAAGUGAUUCUUGUGUCGCAGCCUCCCAGGUAGCUGGGAUUAUAGGCAACACACCAUUAUGGGUGACACACCAUCACACCUGGCUAAUUAUUGUAUUUUUAGUAGAGAUGGGGUUUUACCAUGUUGGCCAGGCUGGUCUCGAACUCCUAGCCUCAGAUGAUCCACUGCUGGCAUGAGCAGCAGGUCUCCUGACCUGUUGUUGCUGUUCUUUAUUUUUUAUUUUUUUUGAGGUGGAGUCUCACUCUGUCACAGAGCUGGAAUGCAGUGGUGUGAUCUCAGCUCACUGAAUCUCUGUCUCCUGGAUUUUUUUUUUUUUUUGAGAUGGAGUUUCGCUCUUGUUACCCAGGCUGGAGUGCAAUGGCUCGAUCUCGGCUCACCGCAACCUCAGCCUCCUGGGUCCAGGCAAUUCUCCUGCCUCAGCCUCCCGAGUAGCUGGGAUUACAGGCACGCGCCACUGUGCCCAGCUAAUUUUUUUGUAUUUUUAGUAGAGACGGGGUUUCACCAUGUUGACCAGGAUGGUCUAUGAACUCUUGACCUCGUGAUCCACCCACGUCAGCCUCCCAAAGUGCUGGGAUUACAGGCGUGAGCCACCGCGCCCGGCCUCUCUCCUGGAUUUAAGUGAUUCUCCUGCCUCAGCCUCCCAAAGUGCUGGGAUUACAGCCGGGAGCCACUGUGCCCAGCCCUGAUGCUGUUCUUAAAAAUGUUCCCCCUCCCUAGACUCGAAAGCCUUCCCCACUUUCCUCUUUCUGGGCUAACUUGGUAGGAAUCAUCUGCAGUUGUCGCUCUGGGAAGAGCAAGGAAACAACGGGUUAUGUGGACACAAGUCUGUGUCCUACCAGAUGGUAGAGUGGGAAGAGAUUAGGUAGGGCAUGAUUGGAAGGGCAGUGUGUGAGAAAAGAAGAUAUGAUAUCUGCCUCUCAGCCCUUUUUAAUAUUCAUUACUUUUUUUUUUUGAGACAGAGUUUCACUCUUGUUGCCCAGGCUGGAGUGCAAUGGUGCCGUCUCAGGUCACUGCAACCUCCACCUCUUAUGUUCAAGUGAUUCUUCUGCCUCUGCCUCCCAAGUAGCUGGGAUUACAGGCAUCUGCCACCAUGCCUGGCUAAGUUUUUGUAUUUUUAGUAGAAGUGGGUUUUCACCAUGUUGACCAGAGUGGUCUUGAACUCCUGAUGUCAGGUGAUCCACCCACCUGGGCCUCCCAAAGUGCUGGGAUUACAGGCGUGAGCCACUGUGCCCAGCCUAAUACUCCUAUUACUGAAUAAAAUUUGAAAUCUGAUUUUUUUUUUUUUUGAGACAGAGUCUCUCUCUGUCACCCAGGCUGGAGUGCAGUUGUACAAUCUCGGGUCACUGCAACCUCCACCUCCUGGGUUCAAGUGAUUCUCCUGCCUCAGCCUCCUGAGUAGCUGGGAUUAUAGGUUUGCACCACCACGCCUGGCUAAUUUUUUGUGUUUUUAGAAGAGAUGGGGUUUUGGUUGGGUGUGGUGACUCAUGCCUGUAAUCCCAGCACUUUGGGAGGCCAAGGGGGGUAGAUUGCAAGGUCUGGAGUUCGAGACAAGCCUGGCCAAUAUGGUGAAACCCCAUCUCUACUAAAAAUACAAAAACUGGCCGGGCGUUGUGGCUCACGCCUGUAAUCCAAGCACUUUGGAGGCCAAGGCGGGUGGACCACCUGAGGUCGGGAAUUCAAGACCAGCCUGACCAACAUGGUGAAACACCGUCUUUAUUAAAAAAAUAAUAAAAAAGAAAAAAAAUACAAAAAUUAGCUGGGCAUGGUGGCAGGUGCCUAUAGUCCCAGCUACUCGGGAGGCUGAGGCAAAAGAAUCACUUGGAUCCAGGAGGCAGAGGUUGCAAUGAGCCAAGACUGUCCCACUACACUCCAGCAUGGGUGACAGAGCGAGACUCUGUCUCAAAAAAAAGGGGCGGGGGGUUCACCAUGCUGGCCAGGCUGGUCUUGAACUCCUGACCUUGUAAUUUGCCCACCUUGGCCUCCCAGAGUGCUGGGAUUACAGGCAUGUGCCACUGUGCCCAGCCUGAAAUCUGGUAUUUCUUAUUCUUACUGAUGGGCUUGACCAGUGGGACACUGAUGGGUAAAUGUGCAAGGGGCUCGGGGCACAGCCUGGCUGCAAAGUCAGAGCUUCCCAGAAAUCCUUGUAUCAUGAGUUUCUUCAGGCACAACUGAGCUUGAUGUAAGAAUGCCAACACAGCAACACAAAUACCAAUUCUCCUUAAAUAUUGUAAUUCAAACCAUUAGAAUAGGCCAAUGAGAGGGAUGAUCAUUUGUUUUGUGAAAAAGUUCUCCCUCCAUUUUACUUAUUCUAAAUAUCAAGUCCUCUUUGCAAGCCAAGUUGAAUAAGAUUCAAUUUAGAAAAGUUCUGUGAACUCACCACUCUUCCCGUGAACCCAUCUCUUUCCACAACUUAGGGUGGUUAAAUUCCCCACAGCAUUUUAUAUAGAUUAAGAGUGAUUAUCCAAAUCUUACAUAAACUUUAAAGAUGUUCACUCUUUCUAGUUAAGUACAUCCAAGACUUCCAGAAAGGAGACACCACAAGGAGUGAAUUAGUUCCCUUUUUCCCUUAAAUCUGUCCUCUAUAUGACCCAAGAACCAGAUAUAAUCAUGCCCAGGUGAGCUGAAUCUAGAUCAUAGGGACCCCCUCAUCGCACACCUUUGAGGAUUAACUGGAAAAGAAACUAGACUAGAAGUCAGAAAACAGGUUCAGCUGCAUCCAUUCACAAUGAAUGGCCCUUUUAUGCUUUUUUUUUUUUGAGGAGUUUUGCUCAUGUUGCCCAGGCUGGAGUGCAAUGGUGCAAUCUCAGGUCACUGCAACCUCUGUCUCCCGGGUUCAAGCGAUUCUCUUCAGCCUCCCGAGUAGCUGGGAUUUCAGGCAUGCACCACUAUGCCUGGUUAAUUUCGUAUUUUUAGUAGAGACUGGGUUUCUCCAUGUUGGCCAGGCUGGUCUCAAACUCCUGACCUCAAAUGAUCUGCCUGCCUCAGCCUCCCAAAGUGCUGGGAUUACAGGCAUAAGCCACCGUACCCAGCCCCUACAUAACCUUUGGAGAGCCACAGGCCUCUUCUUUCAAUCACUAGAUCGAGGCUCAGUCCAGAGACCCCUGAUAACCUCUCAUUGUCCAGAGGCCAUACCUCAGGGCCCAUGACCCCAUGCAGAGCUAAGGGCCUCCAACUUCCCCACAACACCCUUCCAACUCAGGCUGGCCUCGGGGGCCAUGGACCAACUCGGAGGGCAAGCUGGCUUGGCCUCUGCCAAUCCUAGGCCUAAAGGUGGCCAGGAGGCCGCAUUUCCAGCCUCUGGAAGGCAGAGGAAAGCCCCAAGGGCUAAAGCCCUUAACCUGCACUUCCCAGUCCUCACCGCGGCCACUCAAGCCCCCAUGCCCCAGCUUUCCCUGGGCCCGGCCCAAGCCCAAAGGAGUAAAGUAAGAAAAACCAUGGCACUCACCCGCCCAGCCCGUUCCUUCUUCUCUUUCAGCCUCACGCACACUCAGGACGGCUCAAGCCCGAAUGGCCGUUAAAAGUGUGGAGUGCAGCGAGGCCAAGGGCGCGAGGCCCCAGCAUGUGAUCACUCCUGGAACCUGAGGCAGACGCUGAUUGGCUCCCGCUCGGGCCGCACUCUGCAGCUCAGGCCCGCUGCGAGCGCGGGGCAGCCUGGGAGGCACCUAGGACAGCACCACUCCCGCGCGGACCCGCAGCUGAUUGGCUGUGAUGGGGCAGGGCCUUGAGUCUUAUUGGUCCAUGGACUUAGGCUUCAGGCUUCUUAGGCUGAGAUUUCAUUGAUCGCCAGCCCGGCCCCAGAGUUGAUCGGCAGCGGAGUCUGUCCUUCCUCCCUCUCUCCAGGAAGACACUGGACGCUGAUCCUCCUUCACCUGAACAGCUUUGGAGGCUCCCUCAGCGGGUGCUCAGGAAUACCACUGUCUUUUUUUUUUUUUUUUUUUUUGAGAUGAAGUCUCAUUGUGUGGUCUCGACUCACUGCAACCUCCGCCUCCUGGGUUCAAGCGAUUCCCCUGCCUCAGGCUCCCAAGUAGCUGGGACUACAGGCGCCUGCAAACAUGCCGGGAUAAUUUUUGUAUUUUUAGUAGAGAUGGGGUUUCACCAUGUUAGCAGGAUAGUCUCGAUCUCUUGACCUCGUGUUCUGCCUUCCUCGGCCUCCCAAAGUGCUGGGAUUACAGGCGUGAGUCACCGCGCCCGGUCUUCUUUUUGUAAAAAAAUUUUCAUUUUUAUUUUACGAACAGGGUCUCCUGUUGCUGGUGCUGGAGUGCAAUGGAGCAAUCAUAGCUCACUGCAGCCUUGAACUCCUGGGCUCAAACAAUCCUCCUGCCUGGGCCUCCAAAAAUUCUGGGACUACAACCGUGAGCCACCAUGCCUGACCUGCCUUUCUUGCUUCUAAUUUUCCACCCUGAAUAGCUCCCAUUUGCAAACUCUCACCUUUCUCUCAACCCUCUAUAAUCUGUGAAGUGUGUAGGGGAUGUGUAGGCUGCCACCACACCUGAUUGGCUGUGAGGCCUUUAAGAGCCAGCCAAGUCCAGGCACGGUGGCUCAUGCCCAUAAUCCCAGCGCUUUGGGAGGCCCAGGUGGUAAUAGGAUCGCUUGAGCCCAGGAGGUUGAGGCUAAAAUGAGCUAUAAUCAUGCCACUGCAUGGCACCUGGGUGACACAGUGAUACCCUGUCUUUAAUAAAUCAAUAAAAUAAAAUAGGCCAAACGCAGUGGCUCAUGCCUGUAAUCCCAACAUUUUGAGAGGCCAAGGCAGGCGGAUCACGAGGUCAGAAGAUCGAGACCAUCCUGGCCAACAUGGUGAAACUUUCUCUCUACUAAAAAUACAAAAAUUAUCUGAGGGUGGUGGCGCGUGCCUGUAGUCCCAGCUCCUCAAGAGGCUGAGGCAAGAGAAUCACUUGAACCAGGGAGUUGGAGGUUGCAGUGAGCCGAGAUCACACUCAUCACUUGUUGAAAUCUAAAUAAUCCCGUGAGGGAGGCGAUUACAAUGCCAGGUUAACCUCUGAGGGCCAGAGAGGUGAAGUUUAUCUCAGGUCACGCAGCGGGUACGGGCAUUGCUGGGACUUGAAUCUUGCUGUAUGGAAAGUCCAGCAUUCGAGCUACACUCCCUGACGAAGGGAGACUCCGUCUCAAAAUAAAUAAUAAAAUAAAAUAGCCAGCCAGUCUGGGUGCGGUGGCUCAUGCCUGUAAUCCCAGCACUUUGGGAGGGGUCAGGAGUUCGAGACCAGCCUGGACAACAUGGCGAAACACCGUCUCUACUAAAAACACAAAAAUUAGCCAGGCGUGGUAGCGGGCGCCUGAAGUCCCAGCUACUCGGGAGACUGAGGCAGGAUAAUCGCUUGAACCGGAAGGCAGAGGUUGCAGGGAGGGAGCCAAGAUCUCACCACUGCACUCCAGCCUGGGCGACAGAGCUAGACUCCGUCUAAAAAAAAAAAAAAAAAGCCAAUCAGGCUUCGGUGCCUUUGGACAGCUCCCUUUUCUCGCCUCUUCUCUGUCCUACGCCACCACGAUUGCCCGCACAGCUCGUCCUGCCUCGCCUGGAAGUGUACAGGGGCAGGGAAUAAACAAGAGGGGGCAGUGCCUUGUCCCGUGUUUGACAGCGUGACAUUCGCACUUCCAAUUCCCACUGCCACCUCGACUGUAUGCUCAGCCAGGAGUAACCGUGCACUGUGUAACUGAGACAGGAGUGACUAUGCCUGCACUCCCGCCCCCCACGACUCUGCAGAGGGAACGGCCAAUUGCGCUGCCCCAACAUUAACUGGCCCAGGGGUUAGACUCCCUCCAGCAGCCUUUCCUCCUGGGCAGGGCCUCGGGAUUGACAACCUGCGAGCUCGCCCCUUGCCAAUUUCCCGAGGUGCUGCCUGCUGGGCUUCUGGCCUGGGCCCCCGCGGCGGUUGCACCGCUGAUUGGCUCGUUCUGCUCCUUUCUAAGUGGCGUAACCUGGGAUUCUUUCUCAAGCACAGCCAAUAAGACGCCAGGGGGCCUUAGGGAGACUGGCAUUGCUCUGCCGCUACCGCUUCUGCUUGGCCUCACGGCUCGUAUUCGCUUUAGAUUGCCCCCCGCUGAGCAGUUUCAGGCUGUGAGAGGAGUCCGGUCCCUUCCCGCUCCGCGGAGUGUGUCGGCGCCUCCAUCGCAAGCGGCUCGCUGAGGAGCUGGAGCGGGGAGGAAUGGGGGUGGGCAGGAGACAGGAGGGGACCUCGCGGAAGAGCCUGGAGCAGCAGCUGGAGCUGUCGGUCGUGACAGAGACAGCCUGAGUGGUCCCUGGCCCCGAGAGGGACAGAAACCGCUAAAAAGGGGUAGAGACAGCAUUUCACCAUGUUGGCCAGGCUGGUCUUGAACUCCCGACUUCGUGAUUCAUCCACCUUGGCUUCCCAAAUUGCUGGGAUUACAGAUGGUGAGAGAGCUUGGCUCAGUGGAGCAGGAUAGAGGGAGCUAUCUGGAGAGGUGGCAAGGGACCAAGCCACACGGGCCCCUCAGUGCGAGGAGUGGGCCUCUGAGUUUGGGGACUGGGGCAGACAAACCUGUCCUACAGCCGCCUGGGUGAGGCCACGCCACUACCGAUCUGACUGAGCCACACUAUGCAGGUCAGGCCUCUCCCCGGGCCUCGCCCCGCUCACGUAGUCACGGUGGGUAUAGGACGUGAUGCACGAGGCGCACUCGAAGAUGAAGACGAUGAGCAUGAGCACCAGGUACUGGGGAGAUCAGAGGGAGGACGGCGCGUCGGGCAGAGCCGGUGAAGCCACACCCCCACCAGGAACGCAUCGUUGUGGAAAUGCAACUUUUUAAAAAGUUUAGGGCAGUGUGAAUAGUAGCAUCUGUAAUAUAUGCAACAGGAGGUUGUGUGUGGAUGUGUGAACUCUGCUGCUGGGAGACGGGAUGACAUCACACAACACAACCCGACUGCUUUAAAACAAUGUGCUUAUCACUCAGAGAUAUGUGCACUCCAGUACUUACAGAGUUCAUGAGCACAGACUCUGGAGAGCAGCUAGCAGGGGUUCAAAGCCCAGCCCUGCACUGGGUGCAGGUGGGGUGGCUCACACCUGUAAUCCCAGCACUUUGGGAGGCCGAGUUGCAAGAAUCAUUUGAGCCAGGAGUUCAAGACCAGCGUGGGCAACAUAGUGAGCCCCCCCCCGCAUCUUUACCAAAAACAAAAAACAAAAACUCAGCCCUGCUACUCAAGUCCUCUCUGUGCAGAGCCCUGCUCCUCCCCCUAUGCCCUGGUUUCUUUGUGAAACGGGUAACUGCUGGGCCUGGGUUAUUGGACUGUGGGAGGACUGAGUGAGAUGAUGCCUGGGGAGUGUGGCACUGUGGGGAACUCAUGCUGGUGGCUGGCGAGGCGCCUGCCACUGAACUGGCUUCCAGUGUCCCCCUCCCCCCUCCCCCGGGCCUUACCGUGAGGACCAUGGACCGGCGGCGGCAGAGAGUGGCACCUACACCAAAGCUGGCGACCACGAAGAAGGAGAAGCCACAGAAGAUGGCGAUCCAGGCACCAGCGAAGACAUCAUCCUUGCCCGAGACGCCCAUCAGUGGGUACACACGGUACUGGUCAGCUGUCACCCAUACUGUCUCGGCAAACAGGGCCAGGCCUGACAGCUGACAGAGCGGUGGGUUAGAAAGGUCUGCUCGGGACCAACAGCCCUGGCACCAGGCAUCUCCAUGAGCAAGUUUCUUCCCCAUUCGGAGCCUCCACUGCCCUCUCAGUAAGGCAGGCAAAGACCUCCCCUUCCAUGAGCAGUGAUCAGGGUGAACAGAGGCCAGGAGAGAAGAGGUGGCCCAGCCAGACCUCCGACCCCCAAGCCCCAGCUGCCAGUUGCUUCAAGGAUGAAAGGCUGGAACAGCAGCCUGGCACAGAGAAGACAGUCUAUCUGUCUGCCCUCCCUUGACGAUGUUGUUAUUCCCUGAGAAGGCGACAUAACCAUGGCCAUAAAUACUACAAAUAUGCCAGGCAAGAUGGCUCACCCCUAUAAUCCCAGCACACUGUGGGAGGCCGAGGUGGGAGGAUUGCUUGAGCCCAGGAGUUUGAGACCAGCCUGGGUAACAUAGUGAGAGCCCAUCUCUACAAAAAAUAAAAUAUUUAGCCAGAUGUGGUGAUGUGCACCUGUAGUCCCAGCUACUCAGGGGGCUAAGGCGAGAGGCUGCAGUGAGCUAGGAUCACACCACUGCACUGCAGUCUGGGCAACAGAGAUAGACCCCGCCUCUAAAACAAACACAAGGCCAGGCGAGGUGGCUCACACCUGUAAUCCCAACACUUUGGGAGGCCGAGGUGGGUGGAUCACCUGAGGUCAGGAGUUUGAGAUCAGUCUGGCCAACAUGGUGAAACCCUGUCUCUGCCAAAAAUACAAAAAGCAGCUGGGUGUGGUGGCACACACCUGUACUCCAAUAUGAAGAAACCCCGUCUCUACUACAAAAUACAAAAUUAGCUGGGCAUGGUAGCACAAGCCUGUAAUCCCAGCUGCUUGAGAGGCUGAGGCAGGAGAAUCACUUGAGACUGGGAGGUGGAGGUUGCAGUGAGCCAAGAUCUCACCGCUGCAGUUCAGCUUGGGUGACAGAGUGAGAAUCCGUCUCAAAAAAACAAAUUAGCUGGGGGGAGGGGGGUGGGCACCUGUAAUCCCAGCUACUCCAGAGGCUGAGGCAGGAGAAUCACUUGAGCCCAGAAGUCAGAGGUUGCAGUUAGCUGAGAUUGGCCAUUGCACUCCAGUCUGGGUGACAGAAUGAGACUCCGUUUAAAAAAAAAAAAAAAAAAACGAAAAUGAAACAAGCAUAAAACCAAAGCCCAAUGUUAAUUGAAAGAAAGACGCUGUCGUCUUUCCUUCUUGUUGUGGCCUAUGCACCAGGGGGUCGCAUCAUGUCCACAGUGACGUUGACGGUGAUAGCCGGCAUUGGCUAGGCGCUUUCCCUGAGCUGAGGGCCAUGCAUGGGUUAAUCCACAUCAACAGCCCACACAAUGAGGACAUAAUCUACAGAUGAGGAAAGAAGGCACAGAGAGGGACAGUCACUUGCUAAGGUCACAGAGCUGGGGAGAGGCAGAGCUGGCGUGUAAACCCAGGCUGCACUGACGGCUGAGUCUGCCCUCAAGGCAGUUCUGGACCCUCACCCUGAGCUCAGGACUGCCCCCUCCCCACCACACACCCACUCAGCUCCCAGCACCUGGGCGGGUCUCACCAGAAUAAUGAUGUUGCCCAUGACCAGCAGGCCCACCACAACUGGAGAUCCCUUCUUGGCCUCUGCUGCCGCUGCAGACACCACCAUUCUGCCCGGGACACAGGAGCAGGAUGAGACCAGGAGCAUAAAGGGCCAGACAGAUCGCCAGCUCUGAGCCUCCGCAGCUGUCAGGGCUUGCUCUGGCUCUCUGCAGGGCCCAGGCUGGUACCACUUUGCCCACAGUUCUGGCAUUUUGCAGAAGAGGACACCUGGGCUCCGGUGGGGCAGUCACUGGCCCGUACCGGGCACUGCCCCUCCUGAGCCUCAGAGCCCCCAUGCUGUACCCAGAUUCCCAGAGCCCCCUCCUCACCUUCUGUCCCUGGAGCCUCUCUGGCCAGCCCCACCCACUGUGGCUCCCUAUAUACGCCCAGGCCCCUCCUUGGGCCAGUCUCCCAGGAAGGAAGGAGGGUGUGUGUGGUGUGGGGGGACGGACAAGAGGCCGAGCCAGCAGGCCAGAAUGGGUGAACAGCUUUGAUGGGCUCCCUGCCACCCCCAUGAUUUAUAGACCUGAAAUUCCAGAUUGUUCAGGACCCAUGGCCUCUGGGUCCCAGGCUCCCGUGGUGGUGGAGGGGUGCGAGCACCACCUGGUAUCUCUCUUGCCAGGACAUGGGUCAUCCUGGAAGCAGGAACAAGAUCCAAAUCGGGGUGGGGUGUAGUGGCUCAGGCCUGUAAUUCCAGCACUUUGGGAAACUGAAGUAGGUGGAUCGCUUGAACUCAGUAGUUUGAGACCAGACUGAGUAACAUGGUGAAACCCUGGUUCUACAAAAAAUACAAAAAAAAAUUAGCCUGUCGUGGUGGCUCAUGCCUGUGGUCCUAGCUACUCUGAAGGCUGAGGUGGGAGGAUCGCUUGAACCUGGACAAUAGAAGUUGCAGUGAGCCAAGGUCAUGCCAUUGCACUCCAGCUUGAGUGACAGAGCCAGGCCCUUUCUCAAAGAAAAAAAAAAUUCACUUUGGACCCAUAGAUGGGUCUUGAAUCCCAAAAGUGCCUCUUCUGCUGUGUGACCUUGGCAGGUGGCUGCUCCUCUGAGAGGGAGCCCGUGGGGAGGUCCAGGCAGGGACCCCUGUCGACCCCAGGGCUGGACCGAGGCAGAGCAGUGGGGAGUUGAGGGGACAGGUGGAAGGGGUGCUUAGAAGGCUGAGGCGGAAGGAUGGCAUCCAGGAUAGGUGUGUGAAGGGAGUCUCCGAUGAGCACAAGCGGGAGAAGAACGUGCUAUAAGAUGAGAGGGGGCACACUGGGCUUGGUUGCAGAAAAGUCCCGGUUGCCCCCAACACACACAGAGCAAGCAGAGACAUUUAUUUCUUCAGGCUGCAGAAUGAAAGAGACCUAGGCUCAAAUCCCGGUUCCGCCUUUGCAUUUGCCCAUCUGCGAAAUGGGUAUCAUCAGACCGCUUCCGGGGAGGAUGGGGACGCAGCCAGCGCUUCUCCUCUGGGGCUGGUACUGCGGGCAGCCGCGCCCUGCAGCCUGCUCCCGAGACGCGGCGGUCUCUCCGAUGCCGCCCCCUCGCGGCGCAGGCCUGGCUCUGCAGGCGAAAAUGGUGGGGGCUCCCAACACCGUCGCCGGAAUUUCUCAACCCCAAGGCUAGGCGGUUUAUUGCCUCUGCUGUUGGAGCCAUGGCUCCCCCUUGCGGUGUCUGCGAAUUCGGCAAACAAAUGACACUGAAAAUCCCAGAAUCAAGACUUGGUAAUAAGAUACAUGAGAUGUUUUCCAAUUAAAAUGGUUAAUUUGGUUUUACUUAA
Molecule: long non-coding RNA, 13990 nt
Organism: Callithrix jacchus (white-tufted-ear marmoset)
Lineage: Eukaryota; Metazoa; Chordata; Mammalia; Primates; Cebidae
Source: RefSeq, a predicted model, not a curated record